This 207-nucleotide long non-coding RNA is filed under the name Elaeis guineensis (African oil palm). RNAcentral describes it as "long non-coding RNA (EGUI_LNC051574)". The record is from RNAcentral. Lineage: Eukaryota; Viridiplantae; Streptophyta; Magnoliopsida; Arecales; Arecaceae.
AUAUUAAGAUCAAAGCACUCGUUUCUCCUAUUGUUCUCAAGUGAUGACUUCCCUCUCUGUUCUGUGACCUUUCUGGUAUCGGACUGUUCUCUUCUCUUCUAACAUUAGGAUCGAGGCACUCGUCGGAUCUAGUCGUCAUUUGUGGGCCUUCUCCUUCUUCUCGUCACCAGCAUCUGCUCUUCCCCGACAACUCGCUUCCUCUCCGAC